RNAcentral lists this ribosomal RNA (235 nucleotides) under uncultured bacterium. Its description in RNAcentral is "partial 16S ribosomal RNA". It matches the Rfam family "Bacterial small subunit ribosomal RNA", at positions 104 to 334 of the family's 1533-position model. The record is from RNAcentral.
CGGGACGGGGUGGAGUAAUGUCUGGGAAACUGCCUGAUGGAGGGGGGUAACUACUGGAAACGGUAGCUAAUACCGCAUAACGUCGCAAGACCAAAGAGGGGGACCUUCGGGCCUCUUGCCAUCGGAUGUGCCCAGAUGGGAUUAGCUAGUAGGUGGGGUAACGGCUCACCUAGGCGACGAUCCCUAGCUGGUCUGAGAGGAUGACCAGCCACACUGGAACUGAGACACGGCCCAG